UAAUCAGGAGCUAGUAGCAGUCACACAC
Molecule: small RNA, 28 nt
Filed under: Bombyx mori (domestic silkworm)
Lineage: Eukaryota; Metazoa; Arthropoda; Insecta; Lepidoptera; Bombycidae
Description: piRNA piR-bmo-1924953
Source: RNAcentral